This 370-nucleotide ribosomal RNA is filed under the name Staphylococcus aureus. Its description in RNAcentral is "bacterial SSU rRNA". It matches the Rfam family "Bacterial small subunit ribosomal RNA", at positions 1 to 360 of the family's 1533-position model. RNAcentral also lists the same sequence under 2 other names. Lineage: Bacteria; Bacillati; Bacillota; Bacilli; Caryophanales; Staphylococcaceae. The record is from RNAcentral.
UUUAUGGAGAGUUUGAUCCUGGCUCAGGAUGAACGCUGGCGGCGUGCCUAAUACAUGCAAGUCGAGCGAACGGACGAGAAGCUUGCUUCUCUGAUGUUAGCGGCGGACGGGUGAGUAACACGUGGAUAACCUACCUAUAAGACUGGGAUAACUUCGGGAAACCGGAGCUAAUACCGGAUAAUAUUUUGAACCGCAUGGUUCAAAAGUGAAAGACGGUCUUGCUGUCACUUAUAGAUGGAUCCGCGCUGCAUUAGCUAGUUGGUAAGGUAACGGCUUACCAAGGCAACGAUGCAUAGCCGACCUGAGAGGGUGAUCGGCCACACUGGAACUGAGACACGGUCCAGACUCCUACGGGAGGCAGCAGUAGGGA